This 625-nucleotide ribosomal RNA is filed under the name bacterium LGM36. RNAcentral describes it as "bacterial SSU rRNA". It matches the Rfam family "Bacterial small subunit ribosomal RNA", at positions 57 to 677 of the family's 1533-position model. The record is from RNAcentral.
GCAAGUCGAGCGGUAGAGAGAAGCUUGCUUCUCUUGAGAGCGGCGGACGGGUGAGUAAUGCCUAGGAAUCUGCCUGGUAGUGGGGGAUAACGUUCGGAAACGGACGCUAAUACCGCAUACGUCCUACGGGAGAAAGCAGGGGACCUUCGGGCCUUGCGCUAUCAGAUGAGCCUAGGUCGGAUUAGCUAGUUGGUGAGGUAAUGGCUCACCAAGGCGACGAUCCGUAACUGGUCUGAGAGGAUGAUCAGUCACACUGGAACUGAGACACGGUCCAGACUCCUACGGGAGGCAGCAGUGGGGAAUAUUGGACAAUGGGCGAAAGCCUGAUCCAGCCAUGCCGCGUGUGUGAAGAAGGUCUUCGGAUUGUAAAGCACUUUAAGUUGGGAGGAAGGGCAGUUACCUAAUACGUGAUUGUUUUGACGUUACCGACAGAAUAAGCACCGGCUAACUCUGUGCCAGCAGCCGCGGUAAUACAGAGGGUGCAAGCGUUAAUCGGAAUUACUGGGCGUAAAGCGCGCGUAGGUGGUUUGUUAAGUUGGAUGUGAAAUCCCCGGGCUCAACCUGGGAACUGCAUUCAAAACUGACUGACUAGAGUAUGGUAGAGGGUGGUGGAAUUUCCUGUGUA